UUAAUCCCGUGUUUCCUGGCAGGAUGUUACAAGACAGAGGAGGAAGCAGCUCGCACCCAUGAUCUCGCGGCGCUCAAGUGCUGGGGUUCAGAUUGCGGGCUCCUCAACUUCCCAGUGGACACGUACAGGCAGGAGCGCGAGAGGAUGCAGCGGAUGACACGGGAGGAGUACCUGGCGAGGCUGAGGCGCAACAGCAGUGGCUUCACAAGAGGCGUCUCCAAGUACAGGGGAGUUACAAGGCAUCACGCGAACGGCCGGUGGGAGGCGAGGAUCGGUCACUCUGCCGACACGCAGUACUCCUACUUGGGAAUUUUCGAUACCCAGGAGGAGGCGGCCAGGGCCUACGACCUCGCCGCGAUACGAAUCCGCGGCCCCGGCGCCGUCACCAACUUCGACGCCGACUGCUACGUGGACAUCCCGCAGCCGCUCCCCUGCAAGCCCGAGCCGGACCCGGAGCCGGCCGCGGCCCGUCCAUGCCCGCCGGCGCCACUGCCGCCGCCCAAGAUCGAGCCCAAGGACGAGCCGGAGAACCACUUCGAGUUCGAGCGCGAGCCGCCGCCCGCCCCGGCGCUCCGCGACGACGCCGACCACGUGGACCGCGCCAUCGCCGAGGUCCUGCAGGCGCUCUGCGUGGACCGCGCCGCCUUCGAGGCCAGGUACCCGCCCCGCCGCGCAGGGUGGCCAACGCCGUCGGGCUCGGACGACCUGCCGGUGCCGGGCGACGCGGGCUUCUUCGAGGACGACAUCGAGAGCGUGCUCUUCGACGCGCCCGGCGACGCCGAAGUCCCGCGCGCCGCCACCGCCACGAUCAGCUCGCUGGCGUCUGGCCGCUGGUGGUGA
RNAcentral lists this ribosomal RNA (840 nucleotides) under Triticum aestivum (bread wheat). RNAcentral's name for it is "partial small subunit ribosomal RNA". Lineage: Eukaryota; Viridiplantae; Streptophyta; Magnoliopsida; Poales; Poaceae. The record is from RNAcentral.